UAGCCACCCAAGCCCAUUCUAUCUGAGUAGAAUCGUUUUGCAAACACAGCUGAGCUCCUGUGCAUGUUUAGCUGACGCACCUGCCCCCCUGCCUUGCCUAAAGACGAGCACCGGCACUCAUUGACACGCAUGGUUAUUUAUGAGGGUGAGGAGGACACCGGCCUAGGCAGCAGCGAACGGCACAUGCUGCUCAAAGCCAUGCUCACCAUCCGCAUUUGAAAGUGGCAGGCACAGCAGGGGCUCACGCUUUUCCUGCUGGCGGACACUCGCCGUGCAGAAACAGCACAGCUGGGCCUGGCACAGCUGCGGAGAGUUUGUGGAACUUUAAUUCCGUCCCCUCAGCUGUGCGCUGUUCCUGGCUGAGGCGAAUCCACCGGCCACGGCAGCGGAGCCGCCGCCGACUCCCUGCGCUGGGCGAGGCCCCGCUCCCGCGGGUCCGCAGGGGCCGGGCCGGGGCUCCCGCGGGUCCGCAGGGGCCGGGCCGGGGCUGCCGCGGGUCCGCAGGGGCCGGGCCGGGGCUGCCGCGGGUCCGCAGGGGCCGGGCCGAGGCUCCCGCGGGUCCGCAGGGGCCGGGCCGGGGCUGCCGCGGGUCCGCAGCGGCGGGGAGGAGUCGGUGGAGCCGGGCAGCAGCGGUGCCCGCUGGGCCGUGUCCCGCUGCAGUGGCUGAGGCGCUCCCACAGUGCCCAGGGCACCGCGCUGCCGGAGCGGGCUUGCUGAGCCGAAAGGCACCAGAGGAUUUUCUGGGACAGGAUAACAGACAGACUGAGGACAUUGUCACCUUGGUGUGAGGAAAGCUGUCUAAGCAGAAUUGAGUGACUCUGGGAGCACUUGUUGAGCUUGAUGUUCAUGCUGAGGAUGUUCUCACGUCUCUAGUAUGCAAAAAGGCAAAGAUGAGAGUGACUUUGAAUGGUUAAGGGAGGUGAGUGAUACCUCUCAAUCCUAUUAGAAGUCACACAAACAUUGCACCCAAAAAGCUAAAAUUAAAUCGAGCUCAAGGAAAGUUAAAAAUUUCUCUGGAUGGUCUAAGAAAGAAACAAACAAAACUGAGGGAAGUUCAAGAUAAAUUUGCUGUACUUCAGCAGAAUCCAAGAAACAAGAGAAAGCUGACUUGGAAAUCAGCAAAAAACUGCAACAAGCAGAACAAGUUAAUGGUGGCCUUGAGGGUGAGAAAAGUCACAGUCAUGAGACUGCUUUGGAGCUGGGAAUGCAGGACAUCAACUCAGCUGGAAUACCCUUGUUCCAUCAGGAAUUGCAGCUUACCUAGCAACCUUUACAUCCAGCUAGAGGCAAGUGAAAUAUGAAGAUACAGAAGCUGAAUCCCAGCUGCCAGCGUGGAUUACACCAAUCAUCCCCAGGGACUGUUUGGGGUAAGCCCCUUUUGAUGAUUUUAUCCAGAGAAGGCAGAGGUAGGCAGAAAAUUCUGUGAAUUA
Prinia subflava (tawny-flanked prinia) is the source of this 1430-nucleotide long non-coding RNA. RefSeq lists it as uncharacterized. The transcript has 5 exons. The record is from RefSeq and is a predicted model, not a curated record. Lineage: Eukaryota; Metazoa; Chordata; Aves; Passeriformes; Cisticolidae.